AAGACCAUAAUUUCAGGGAUUAUUUCUAGAGUUUAUUACUGGAGAAGUUUCUUUGAAUGUAUAGACUACUAAAAACCACGUUAUCUCCUGACUGUAAAGCUGCCUCUUGGUAUUGCUUUAUUUCAAUUGCCAUUUGCCACUAAUGAUUGUUCUUCUUUUCUUGUGGAGAGUAAGGGGGAGAGGACACAGUCUGGGUGGG
Molecule: small nucleolar RNA, 199 nt
Filed under: Aotus nancymaae (Ma's night monkey)
Lineage: Eukaryota; Metazoa; Chordata; Mammalia; Primates; Aotidae
Description: Small nucleolar RNA U3 (ENSANAG00000010636.1)
Rfam family: Small nucleolar RNA U3
About the family: Small nucleolar RNAs (snoRNAs) are involved in the processing and modification of rRNA in the nucleolus.
Source: Rfam by way of RNAcentral